Molecule: ribosomal RNA, 614 nt
Filed under: Streptomyces sp. 3SM5_01
Lineage: Bacteria; Bacillati; Actinomycetota; Actinomycetes; Kitasatosporales; Streptomycetaceae
Description: bacterial SSU rRNA
Rfam family: Bacterial small subunit ribosomal RNA
Source: RNAcentral
UCGAACGAUGAACCGCUUUCGGGCGGGGAUUAGUGGCGAACGGGUGAGUAACACGUGGGCAAUCUGCCCUGCACUCUGGGACAAGCCCUGGAAACGGGGUCUAAUACCGGAUAUGACUGUCCAUCGCAUGGUGGAUGGUGUAAAGCUCCGGCGGUGCAGGAUGAGCCCGCGGCCUAUCAGCUUGUUGGUGAGGUAGUGGCUCACCAAGGCGACGACGGGUAGCCGGCCUGAGAGGGCGACCGGCCACACUGGGACUGAGACACGGCCCAGACUCCUACGGGAGGCAGCAGUGGGGAAUAUUGCACAAUGGGCGAAAGCCUGAUGCAGCGACGCCGCGUGAGGGAUGACGGCCUUCGGGUUGUAAACCUCUUUCAGCAGGGAAGAAGCGAAAGUGACGGUACCUGCAGAAGAAGCGCCGGCUAACUACGUGCCAGCAGCCGCGGUAAUACGUAGGGCGCAAGCGUUGUCCGGAAUUAUUGGGCGUAAAGAGCUCGUAGGCGGCUUGUCACGUCGGUUGUGAAAGCCCGGGGCUUAACCCCGGGUCUGCAGUCGAUACGGGCAGGCUAGAGUUCGGUAGGGGAGAUCGGAAUUCCUGGUGUAACGGUGAAAUGCGC